Molecule: ribosomal RNA, 254 nt
Filed under: uncultured bacterium
Lineage: Bacteria
Description: partial 16S ribosomal RNA
Rfam family: Bacterial small subunit ribosomal RNA
Source: RNAcentral
UACGGAGGGUGCAAGCGUUUAUCCGGAUUCACUGGGUUUAAAGGGUGCGUAGGUGGGCAGGUAAGUCAGUGGUGAAAUCUCCGAGCUUAACUCGGAAACUGCCGUUGAUACUAUUUGUCUUGAAUAUUGUGGAGGUAAGCGGAAUAAUGUCAUGUAGCGGUGAAAUGCUUAGAUAUGACAUAGAACACCAAUUGCGAAGGCAGCUUCUACACAACGAUUGACGCUGAGGCACGAAAGCGUGGGGAUCAAACAGG